UGCAUGUUAAUUCUGCACAAUUUUCUGGGUGUAAACGUUUACAGACACUUUAGUAGACAGUGUAGCCCAGAAUGACCUAGUCGGAGGAGUGUUAUCAAAGUAUAUAAUCAAUAUUGGAGCGAAAUAAAUAGAAGUUGCUCCAUGAUAUAUUAUUAUUAAUAAUAGUUAUAUUAUUAUUAUAAUAUGCAGAUAUCAAUACUUUAUACCAUAAAAAAUUGGACGACCAUACAUUCAUUGUUAUACUAUAACUGCUCAUAAUGGUCUUAUGGCAAAAUGAACCACAAUAGUUAGAGCAAAUGUAAUAGUCCAUUUAAGUGGCAGAGAUCUUCAGAAUAUAUGGAGCAGGCUAGCAACAUGAAGGAUGUGGACUACAAGGCAGUCUGCUGUAUGAGAAAAGACACACUAGACUUGCAGGGGUUGGCAACCCUAGGCACACAUGCCACCACUGGCACGGGGCAGGAUAAUCAUUGGCACACUUAAAGUAAAAUAUAAAUAAAAUAAAGUAAAAAAAUAUAUAUUAUUUUUAUUAUUUCUUUAUUAAUAAAAAAAUUCGCAGCACAAUGCGGCAGCCUAAUCAUUACUACCGAUUUUUUUUUUGCACUUUAUUCUGUUUUGGGGAUUUCCUCCCAGUGCAAAUAUGUUAAAAUUAGUUACAGAAAGCAGUGCUGAAAUGGGAUCAAUUAAUAGUUUUUAAACCUAUGUUGUGAGUAAUAGAAAAGAAAAUAUUUAAAAUAUUGUUGCAAGUGGUGUUGUUGCUGUAUGCAUCGCCUUCACAUGGUUUUGCAUAGCUGUACAUGUCUUAACGAUAUUGAUGUGGAUGGUUUCAACAUUCUCAUAUAUUCUCGUUUUUUACAUUUCUCACAGUGCAAAUAUGUUUUUGAAUGAGUUUCUGAAAAUGGUGUUUUAAGAUGGGACAUAUGUAAUUAUAAUUUGUAAGCCCAUGUUGCAAAUAUAACAACCAAAAAAACAUUUAAAAUGUUGAUGCAUGAUUGUGGACUAUAUGAAAAUAGUACAAUUCCAGGUCUUCUGGAAAUGUUUUUGGUCGCUGUGUCAUAAUUCAGCUUCAUUUUUUAUAUAUUGUUGCUGACCCCUGCACUAGAGUCUAGAGUCUAGCCUGUGUGUGACAGGCUUACGUCGGUUCACUUAAUCUACACUGUGCCACUACUUCUACAUCUACGUCGGAUAUCAGUGGGCCCUCACUUCACAAUAACAGCACUGAAGAAGAACUAGAACAAUCCAAAUCAUCUUUUGAAGGUAUUUAGCCUCCAAACGAUACAACAUAUCAUAACCAAGAUUAUUUAACCAAAGGGAGCUUCUCCCAGUGUUUGGCUGCAAUUUUUUUUUUUUAAGGUAAUCGAUCAUUAUUAGGUGUAUUUAUGUUUCUGUUGGUUCAACAUGGCCAGUCCAUACAGUUUUUCCCCCUCCCCCAGAGGGAUUGCCUGAAGCCACUUAGCAUCGUAACAUAUGUAUGUGGCAGCCGUUUCGCUUCCACGGGUCAGGCCUUCUCAGUGUGUGUCCCACAUACGGAGGGGAAAGACUCCUCUAGAACAUUGAAGACACCUAGAUUAACAUGGAUUAGUGCCAAGACUCAGACCAAAGGCCAAACUGCAAGAUGUCAUUUUUUCUCCUCUAAGGCUCCGCCUCCAACCUGCUCCGCCGCCUCAGGCUGUGGCUGCUCAUGUAGGUUUUGUUUAAGUGCAGCAUCUAGUUUGUUUUGUGAAUAUACACACAUCUAUUCACAUUUGCAUUUGAUGCAAACAUUUUAAAUAGAUUAAGAAUUCCAAAUUAAAGAUCAGAUUCUUUUUU
Molecule: long non-coding RNA, 1806 nt
Organism: Gadus macrocephalus (Pacific cod)
Lineage: Eukaryota; Metazoa; Chordata; Actinopteri; Gadiformes; Gadidae
Exons: 2
Source: RefSeq, a predicted model, not a curated record